UGCAGUCGAGGGGUAUAGUUCUUCGGAACUAGAGACCGGCGCACGGGUGCGUAACGCGUAUGCAAUCUACCUUUUGCAGAGGGAUAGCCCAGAGAAAUUUGGAUUAAUACCUCAUAGUAUGUGAGAAUGGCAUCAUUUUCACAUUAAAGUCACAACGGCAAAAGAUGAGCAUGCGUCCCAUUAGCUAGUUGGUAAGGUAACGGCUUACCAAGGCAACGAUGGGUAGGGGUCCUGAGAGGGAGAUCCCCCACACUGGUACUGAGACACGGACCAGACUCCUACGGGAGGCAGCAGUGAGGAAUAUUGGACAAUGGGCGCAAGCCUGAUCCAGCCAUGCCGCGUGCAGGAUGACGGUCCUAUGGAUUGUAAACUGCUUUUGUACAGGAAGAAACACUGGUUCGUGAACCAGCUUGACGGUACUGUAAGAAUAAGGAUCGGCUAACUCCGUGCC
This 451-nucleotide ribosomal RNA is filed under the name activated sludge bacterium OC22. RNAcentral's name for it is "bacterial SSU rRNA". It matches the Rfam family "Bacterial small subunit ribosomal RNA", at positions 56 to 509 of the family's 1533-position model. The record is from RNAcentral.